GUAGAGGAAGCGGAGGGAGUGGAGCACGGUCAGUACUCAGGCGAGGGCUCCCUCUGCUGGCUUGGCGUUACAUUAUCUCAUUAGAAAAAUAGUUCAACACUGCUUAUUAUGGUUAUGUCAACAAUGGCAGGUCUCAAGACCUGCAAGAGCAUAUCUUAUAUUUUAUUUCCAAAAAUAUGCCAAAAUAUACAACAUGUGUUGAUGCAGAAGAGAUGGUGAAGGAAAUCACUCCGGGAUACUAUGAUGAUGUCAUCACUGAUGGACUAAAACCAGAUCGUGAGACAGAAGACAGAACUAUGAGCUAUGAUGAUGUCAUGAUGAGUGGACAGAACUCUGAUAUUAAAAAAGUGGACAAACCAGAGCACUAUGAUGAUGUCAUCAUUAUUGGACAGAACGUUCCAGGUUUAACAGAGGGAGAUCAGGAGGAGUAUGAUGAUGUGAAGAACAGCAAUGAAGAUGAGAGAAGCCUGUUGGGUAGGGUAUUGUUACAUUUUCACAUAAUCUCUACACU
Molecule: long non-coding RNA, 511 nt
Filed under: Sinocyclocheilus anshuiensis
Lineage: Eukaryota; Metazoa; Chordata; Actinopteri; Cypriniformes; Cyprinidae
Description: lncRNA (ENSSANG00000026352.1)
Source: RNAcentral